Parasteatoda tepidariorum (common house spider) is the source of this 808-nucleotide non-coding RNA. Lineage: Eukaryota; Metazoa; Arthropoda; Arachnida; Araneae; Theridiidae. The record is from RefSeq and is a predicted model, not a curated record.
UUAAAAUUGCAUAUCAAACGAAAUUUUGAGUAGACAUUUUGAGUAAACAUAGGCAACAGUAAAUACAUUCACUGAUAUAGAAAAAGUUUUAGUUUUCAGAAAAAAACUCUCCAGCCCGAGUUCUAAAUUGACGAAACUCACUGAAUUUAUGAUUCCACCAUAUUUUUCAAGAAUAAUAAUUUUAAGAAGGUGAAGGCAAGUUAGUGACCCAACCUUAGAGCGCUUUUAAAACAGCCAAGAGGAAUUAUUUCAUCAUAUCUGAUCAGCUGCAUUGUAUUUCUGAAGCACUGUGCUUACUUCUCUGAGUGAUAAAACGUCAUAUCCCAUGAAGAUAAGUUACUAUUUUUACUACUUAGAAUCGGAGAGUAGCUGAAUAUUUAUAGUACGUUUGUCUCCGACGACAUUCGGUAACAAACAUGGAGAGUUUCUAUUUAACGUUGUUUGUUUGUUACAUGGCCUAUGCCUACAAUCGAAAAUGUGUAGCUUUAUCGAUGCCCAAAUUGAUCGAAGAAGGUUUGGAAACGAGCCAUGCUGUGUUAUAAAAAUAGAUAGACAUAGAUAAAGUUGGAAGAAAGGAAGGUUAGUGAAUGAACCAAUGUUUGGAAUCAAUCCAUUUUCUUCAUAACUUUACGGGGGAUGCAAAGAAUAUAUUUCACCAAAGAAAUUUAAUUUAAGUAAAUGUUCCUUUUUUCAUGCUGAUAAAAAAUCUGUAUGAUAAUUUAAGAUAAUUUUAGUUUUUUUUUUGUGACUUAAGAAUUAUAUUCCGUAUCAAACUGGUUUGGAUACGUAUUGAUUCUAUUCAAUUUAU